AUGCCACCACGGCCACGCGCUCCAAGCUCCGGCGCCAACUCCAUCGCCGCUGAGAUGGGCGCCCAGGGAAUCCCUGCCCGGGGCGGCUCCCCUCCCCCUCCCGUCACCACCAAGCACGACGCGUCUGGCGCUGGCGAAGCCCAAAGCUGCCCCGUCCGCUCCCCGGCCUCGGAAGGAAGCGACCGCUCGGUGGAGGAGAAGAACUCCCCAGGGGAAAUCCCUUGGUACGAUAAAUUGGAGGACAUAGAUGAGGAGUACCGCAAGUACUUGAGUUGCGUGCGCUUUGUGAAUGGCCACCAAAUAGUGGUCGUGCCGGAAGGCGGGCUGGAAGCGGUGCCGGCUCGAGUUGUUGACAAGUCUAAUGGGGCAGGGAAGAAGGAUGGGGAGGAAGCGGCUGCUCAUGCUGCUUCGGGGGAGAAGGGCAGCAGCGUUGGGAGCAAGGAGAAGCGGAAGGGGAAGGGAAAGGUGGCGGCGAUCACCACGAGUGGGAAAUCUCGUGUGCGCGAUUACGACCCUGCGCAUCGGCAAAAAGUGUUGGUGAUGGACCGCAAGGUUACACGAUACGGGCAGGACGAGGUGUCGGUUCCAGUUGGUGACAAGUCUGAUGGGGCAGGGAAGAAGGAUGGGGUGGAAGCGGCUUCCCGUGCUACUUCACGGAAGAACGGCUGCGGCGUUGGGAAGAAGGAGAAGGGAAAGAGGAAGGUGGCGGCGAUCACCAUGGGCGGGCCUGCGCUGAAGUCUCGUGUGGCCGAUUCCAGUGCGCAUCCGCAAAAGGGUCAGAAGGAGAAGAAUAAGGAACGGAAAAAUGAUGCUAAGAAGAUGAAGGUGGCGGCGGAACCGCAUCCGGAAACACUGAACACUGCUUCGGGGAAGGAGAAGGUGGUGGUGAUCACCACGGGUGAGCCUGCGCUGAAAUCUCGUGUGCACGAUUCCACUACGCAUCCGCAAAAGAUUCAGAAGGAGAAGAAUGGACGCAAAAAUGGUUCUAAGAAGAUGAAGGUGGUGGAGGAAGAAGGGAAGCCGUCGAAGGAGCUGCCUGUGGAAACACUGAAUAUUGUGAAGAGGAAAAGGAAAUCAAAUAAUGUACAAAAUGCCGAGUCUCGUACUGCUUCGACUGGCAACAACAGAAAGCCACAACUUCGGAGAUCUGCUCGACUUAUGCUCAGUCCGCCUGAAAAUGAUCAUAAGUAG
RNAcentral lists this ribosomal RNA (1191 nucleotides) under Triticum aestivum (bread wheat). Its description in RNAcentral is "partial small subunit ribosomal RNA". Lineage: Eukaryota; Viridiplantae; Streptophyta; Magnoliopsida; Poales; Poaceae. The record is from RNAcentral.